This 472-nucleotide long non-coding RNA is filed under the name Marmota monax (woodchuck). The record is from RNAcentral. Lineage: Eukaryota; Metazoa; Chordata; Mammalia; Rodentia; Sciuridae.
GGAGUUUCCUGUGAUAGGAAGUGAUGGCAGAAUAUUGUUUAAUGAGAUAGGACUUUGUAAACACAUUACCCAUGUAAUGGAACUAUCCCCGCUUUAAAUCUCAUUAGUGGAUCAGUUGUAAAGAGAUAUUUUACCAUUGCUGUUCAUCUUUGUGGAUACAUUAUCUCCCCCGCCCCUUGCUCAGGGUGGUUCCCAUUGCAUAUGCCUGCAGAACUGCCAGCUAAACUCCACCUCCACCCUGCAGCCAGUCAAGUCCAUUUGGCAGGAUGAAACAUUUCUGGAGAGGACUGCAAGCCACGGUGACAGGUCUGAGCUCAGUUUGAUGGACACAACUCUCCGUUUUUCCCUUUGGAUGUCACUAUGUGUUCUUAAUCUCCAAAUCUAGCAAUGCUUGCCUUGACCAAGCUCCAACAGCCUUCUACAUUCCUUUAACUCAGCUUAGAAAAGAAAAAUGUUAUUAGGAAAACACCAU